Molecule: RNase P RNA, 488 nt
Filed under: Pseudomonadota bacterium
Lineage: Bacteria; Pseudomonadati; Pseudomonadota
Also listed under: 1 other name
Description: RNase P RNA component class A
Rfam family: Bacterial RNase P class A
About the family: Ribonuclease P (RNase P) is a ubiquitous endoribonuclease, found in archaea, bacteria and eukarya as well as chloroplasts and mitochondria. Its best characterised activity is the generation of mature 5'-ends of tRNAs by cleaving the 5'-leader elements of precursor-tRNAs.
Source: RNAcentral
GAAGAGGAGCAGAGGGCCGCCCCAGACUUCGUCUGGACUGUACAUCUUCGCCGGCCGCAGGCCGGCGAAGGCGAAUGGUCCAGGCGAAGCCUGGGGAGGAAAGUCCGGACUCCGCAGGGCAGGCCGCUCGCCGCAAGGCGAGAAGGAGCGAUCCUUGGAAAGUGCCACAGAGAAGAGACCGCCAGCGGCCCAAGCUCCGCUUGACCUUCAUCGUGGCCAGCCUCCGGCUGGCCAAGGUGUACGGUCCAGGCGAAGCCUGGUGGGUGCGGGCAAGGGUGAAACGGUGGGGUAAGAGCCCACCGCCCCGCUCGCGAGAGUCGGGGGCACGGCAAACCCCGGCCGGAGCAAGACCAAGUAGGGGCACGCUGGGGCCGCACGGCCCCAUAAGGGUGGCCCGCCCGAUGUGCCCGGGUAGGUCGCAUCAGAGAGAUGGCCCUCACCGACUCGGCAGAGUCGGCACAGAAUCCGGCUUAUGCUCCUCUUCCCUC